Cavia porcellus (domestic guinea pig) is the source of this 106-nucleotide non-coding RNA. The record is from Rfam. NCBI's taxonomy places the organism in Eukaryota, Metazoa, Chordata, Mammalia, Rodentia, Caviidae.
GGCUGGUCCGUCCGAGUGCAGUGGUGUUUAUAACUAAUUGAUCACAACCAGUUACAGAUUUCUUUGUUCCUUCUCCACUCCCACUGCUUCACUUGACUAGCCUAAA